GAUGAACGCUGGCGGCGUGCUUAACACAUGCAAGUCGAACGGGAAUUCUUUUAUUGUACCUUCGGUCGGUUUAAUUUACUUCUAGUGGCGGCCGGGUGAGUAACGCGUGGGUAACCUGCCUUAUACAGGGGGAUAACAGUCAGAAAUGGCUGCUAAUACCGCAUAAGCGCACAGAGCUGCAUGGCUCAGUGUGGAAAACUCCGGUGGUAUAAGCUGGACCCGAGUUGGUUUAGCUUGUUGGCAGGGUAACGGCCUACCAAGGCGACGAUCCAUAGCCGGCCUGGGAGGGUGAACGGCCACAUUGGGACUGAGACACGGCCGAGACUCCUACGGGAGGCAGCAGUGGGGAAUGUUGCACAAUGGGGGAAACCCUGAUGCAGCGACGCCGCGUGAAGGAAGAAGUAUCUCGGUAUGUAAACUUCUAUCAGCAGGGAAGAUAGUGACGGUACCUGACUAAGAAGACCCGGCUAACUACGUG
Molecule: ribosomal RNA, 478 nt
Filed under: uncultured bacterium
Lineage: Bacteria
Description: partial 16S ribosomal RNA
Rfam family: Bacterial small subunit ribosomal RNA
Source: RNAcentral